UGAAGUCCCCAACCACCGGCGCUGGGCGGAAGUGGCCUUAGUGAGCCUGCACAGGGCGACAUGCGCGAGGGUGGGGGCGCCCCCCGACUCUGUGGACUUCCUGAUUCCAAACCAGAUGUGAUCUCCAAGCUGGAGCAGUGGGAAGACCCGUGGACUGUGGAGAGAGACGUCCCAAGAGGUCCAGGAAGCUCUGUGUGCUGAAACGUGGUGUCACCAAGUCCAGCUCUUUAAAAACUGUGUCGCUCCUCAGCUUCAGCAUGAAGACUGUUGAAAUCAGCUGCGACGGUGAUGCCGGUGUAAGGCUUCCACACUGUGUAUGCACUUUGCAAGUGUUGUCCCAUCUCAUCCUGUCAGCGGCCCUGGGAUGCAGGCAUCUCUAUCCCCACUUAGAGCUGAGAUUCUCAGAGGUUAAACUGCUUGCCCAAGGCCAGCUGGAAGCCAUUCACUGUUCAGGAUGGAAAUAUUAGAUGUAGCACAUAAGGACAGCGUGGUGGAAGUCCAUCCAUCCCUUUCAGCGGACACCAAGACGUGUGGAAUAUAAAGCCCCCUUGAGUAUUGGGAGAUAACAGGAGGAUUGGGUCCCGUCUGAAGAAGCAACUCGAGGCAAAGGCAGCGUGGGAACUGGGCAGUCCUUGCUCAAUCCAGACGUCGUUGGUGAAAUGCCUGCUGGGAGCCACGAGCUUGUUCCCGUCACAGGCGGGGGCCUUUCACUUCCUGUACAACUUUGCUCAGGGCUUCCCUGUGGCCACCAAGAGCACAGGCUUCGGACGCGCAGGCUCAGCGGCCAUGGCUCACAGACCCAGCCGCUCCGUGACAUGUGAGAUCCUCUCGGACCGGGGCACGAACCCGUGUCCCCUGCAUCGGCAGGCGGACUCUCAACCACUGCGCCACCAGGGAAGCCCCCCUCCCUUACCUCUUUGAACAAUGUUACUGCGAACAUUUCUGUAUAAGAUUUUGUGUGGACAUAUGUUUUCAUUUCUCCAACUGUUUUCCACAGAGGCUGCAUCAUUUUACAUUUCCACCGGCAAUGUAUGAGGGUUCCUAUUUCUCCACAUCGUCACCUACACUUGUUACCUGUCUUUCAGAUCACAGCCAUCCUCUUGGGUGUGAAGUGGGAUCACAGUGUGGCUUUGAUUUGCAAUUCCCUGAUGACAAAGGAUGUUGAGCAUCCAUUCAUGUGCUUAUUGGCCAUCUGCAUGUUUUCCUUGGGGAAAUGUUACUGUCUUUGCCCAUUAUUAUUUUAUUUAUUUAUGUAGCCACACUGUGUGGCUUGCAGAAUCUUAGUUUCCCCACCAGCGAUGGAACCUGGGCCCCCAGCAGUCCUAACCACCGGCCCACCAGGGAAUUCCCUGCCCAUUUUUAAAUUGGGUUAUUUAGGGGCUUUGUUGUUGGGUUAUUUGCGUUGUAAGAGUUCUUUAUAUAUCCCGGAUGCAAGUUGUGUGUUUGUGUGUCUGUGUGUCUUUAUGUGGGUCUGUAUGUCUGUGUGAGCCUGUGUGUGUGGCUGUGUCUGAGCAGGUACAACUUUGCCUCCCCCCAUGGACAUGGAGAAGCAGAGGGCGUCAUGGUCAUCUGGGAAGAGCAGAGGGUUUAUUAUCUCCGUGUUACAGAGAAGGAAGUAGAAGGCCAGAUAAAUGAAGUCAUUUGCCCAUAAAAGAGUUAAGAGGCAGAACUGGGAAUUGAAAUCAGCUGGGUCCCUCUCCAUAGCCUUUGCUUCCAACUGCACUAUGCUGUUUCUUAUCCAGUGGCUCUCAGCCU
This is a long non-coding RNA of Globicephala melas (long-finned pilot whale), 1755 nucleotides long. RefSeq lists it as uncharacterized. NCBI's taxonomy places the organism in Eukaryota, Metazoa, Chordata, Mammalia, Artiodactyla, Delphinidae. The record is from RefSeq and is a predicted model, not a curated record.